GACGAACGCUGGCGGCGCGCUUAACACAUGCAAGUCGUACGGUAAGGCCCUUUCGGGGGUACACGAGUGGCGAACGGGUGAGUAACACGUGAGUAACCUGCCCACAACUUUGGGAUAACGCUAGGAAACUGGUGCUAAUACUGGAUAUGUGCUCCUGCUGCAUGGUGGGGGUUGGAAAGCUCCGGCGGUUGUGGAUGGACUCGCGGCCUAUCAGCUUGUUGGUGGGGUAGUGGCCUACCAAGGCGGCGACGGGUAGCCGGCCUGAGAGGGUGACCGGCCACAUUGGGACUGAGAUACGGCCCAGACUCCUACGGGAGGCAGCAGUGGGGAAUAUUGCACAAUGGGCGCAAGCCUGAUGCAACAACGCCGCGUGCGGGAUGACGGCCUUCGGGUUGUAAACCGCUUUCAGCAGGGACGAAGCUUUUUGUGACGGUACCUGCAGAAGAAGCACCGGCUAACUACGUG
Molecule: ribosomal RNA, 465 nt
Filed under: uncultured bacterium
Lineage: Bacteria
Description: partial 16S ribosomal RNA
Rfam family: Bacterial small subunit ribosomal RNA
Source: RNAcentral